This 253-nucleotide ribosomal RNA is filed under the name uncultured bacterium. RNAcentral describes it as "partial 16S ribosomal RNA". It matches the Rfam family "Bacterial small subunit ribosomal RNA", at positions 524 to 776 of the family's 1533-position model. The record is from RNAcentral.
AACGUAGGAGGCAAGCGUUAUCCGGAGUUACUGGGCGUAAAGCGCGUGUAGGCGGCUCGGUAAGUGGGUCGUGAAAGCGCCCGGCUAAACUGGGCGAGGACGAUCGAGACUGCCAGGCUAGAGGGUGGUAGAGGGACAGGGAAUUCCGGGUGUAGCGGUGAAAUGUGUAGAGAUCCGGAGGAACACCAGUGGCGAAGACGCUGUCCUGGGCCACCUCUGACGCUGAUACGCGAAGGCGUGGGGAGCGAACGGG